This 468-nucleotide ribosomal RNA is filed under the name uncultured bacterium. RNAcentral's name for it is "partial 16S ribosomal RNA". It matches the Rfam family "Bacterial small subunit ribosomal RNA", at positions 28 to 507 of the family's 1533-position model. The record is from RNAcentral.
GACGAACGCUGGCGGCGUGCUUAACACAUGCAAGUCGAACGGAAAGGCCCUGCUUUUGUGGGGUGCUCGAGUGGCGAACGGGUGAGUAACACGUGAGUAACCUGCCCUUGACUUUGGGAUAACUUCAGUAAACUGGGGCUAAUACCGGAUAUGAGCUCCUUCUGCAUGGUGGGGGUUGGAAAGUUUCGGCGGUUGGGGAUGGACUCGUGGCUUAUCAGCUUGUUGGUGGGGUAGUGGCUUACCAAGGCUUUGACGGGUAGCCGGCCUGAGAGGGUGACCGGCCACAUUGGGACUGAGAUACGGCCCAGACUCCUACGGGAGGCAGCAGUGGGGAAUAUUGCACAAUGGGCGGAAGCCUGAUGCAGCAACGCCGCGUGCGGGAUGACUGCCUUCGGGUUGUAAACCGCUUUAGCCUGUGACGAAGCGUGAGUGACGGUAAUGAGUAAAGAAGCACCGGCUAACUACGUG